UUUUUUAUGGUGUAUAUAGCACGUUGGUUUUUCAUGCCAGAGGAGGAAGUGUUUCCUGA
Molecule: transfer RNA, 59 nt
Filed under: Bankia sp. TBF03
Lineage: Eukaryota; Metazoa; Mollusca; Bivalvia; Myida; Teredinidae
Also listed under: 1 other name
Description: tRNA-Glu
Source: RNAcentral